Salvelinus fontinalis (brook trout) is the source of this 448-nucleotide long non-coding RNA. RefSeq lists it as uncharacterized. The record is from RefSeq and is a predicted model, not a curated record. Lineage: Eukaryota; Metazoa; Chordata; Actinopteri; Salmoniformes; Salmonidae. The transcript is spliced from 2 exons.
CCUGUCGAACGCUGCUUUUUUCGUGUAGUGGAGCUGCAUAAGCCUUGCUCUCCACUUUCUGGAGGAUUGUUUGUUGUUUUGAAAUCAGUGGUAUUAGAGUAGGAUAGCUAAAGAGAUGGAGAAAACACCUGUCUCCGGAUUACAUCUCCAAACUAAGGGUAACCGUGACAUGGCAUUCGUGACAGGGAGACAAGAUACAUGCAUGAUGAUGCACGGUAUAUGGGUGACUACCUCAUGAAGCUGGUUGAGAGAAUGCCAAAAGUGUGAGAAGCAGUAAUCGAGGGAAACGGUGGCUACUUUGAAGAAUCUCAAAUGAAAAUAUAUUUUGAUUUGUCCAACACAUUUUUUGUUAAUACUUUAUUCCAUGUGUUAUUUGAUAGUUUCGAUGUCUUCACUAUUAUUCUACAAUGUAGAAAAUAGCAAAAAUAAAGAAAAACCCACGAAUGAG